CACCGGCGGCUCGAGUGGUGGCCACUUUUAUUGGGUCUAAAGCGUCCGUAGCCGGCUUGGCAAGUCCCCUGGGAAAUCUGGCGGCUUAACCGUCAGGCGUCCAGAGGAUACUGCCAGGCUUGGGACCGGGAGAGGUGAGAGGUACCUCAGGGGUAGCGGUGAAAUGUGUUGAUCCCUGGAGGACCACCUAUGGCGAAGGCACUCGCCUGGAACGGGUCCGACGGUGAGGGACGAAAGCCAGGGGCGCGAACCGG
Molecule: ribosomal RNA, 254 nt
Filed under: uncultured microorganism
Description: partial 16S ribosomal RNA
Rfam family: Archaeal small subunit ribosomal RNA
Source: RNAcentral